Triticum urartu is the source of this 73-nucleotide non-coding RNA. NCBI's taxonomy places the organism in Eukaryota, Viridiplantae, Streptophyta, Magnoliopsida, Poales, Poaceae. The record is from Rfam.
UCGCUAUAAGGUGAUGGUGUUCCCCCUUUCCCAACCGCCUCGUCCGUAAGGGGCUGAUGACGCCUGAUAACCC